RNAcentral lists this ribosomal RNA (371 nucleotides) under uncultured bacterium. RNAcentral's name for it is "bacterial SSU rRNA". It matches the Rfam family "Bacterial small subunit ribosomal RNA", at positions 525 to 896 of the family's 1533-position model. The record is from RNAcentral.
ACGAAGGGGGCUAGCGUUGUUCGGAAUUACUGGGCGUAAAGGGCGCGUAGGCGGCGCUGUAAGUGAGAUGUGAAAGACCUGGGCUUAACCUGGGAGGUGCAUUUCAGACUGCAGUGCUAGAGUGCGAGAGAGGAAAGUGGAAUGACGAGUGUAGAGGUGAAAUUCGUAGAUAUUCGUUGGAACACCAGUGGCGAAGGCGACUUUCUGGCUCGCAACUGACGCUAAGGCGCGAAAGCGUGGGGAGCAAACAGGAUUAGAUACCCUGGUAGUCCACGCUGUAAACGAUGAUUGCUAGACGUCGGGAACGACAGUUUUCGGUGUCGCAGCUAACGCAUUAAGCAAUCCGCCUGGGGAGUACGGUCGCAAGAUUA